RNAcentral lists this ribosomal RNA (515 nucleotides) under uncultured bacterium. RNAcentral's name for it is "partial 16S ribosomal RNA". It matches the Rfam family "Bacterial small subunit ribosomal RNA", at positions 28 to 523 of the family's 1533-position model. The record is from RNAcentral.
GAUGAACGCUGGCGGCGUGCCUAAUACAUGCAAGUCGAGCGAAUGGAUUGAGAGCUUGCUCUUAUGAAGUUAGCGGCGGACGGGUGAGUAACACGUGGGUAACCUGCCCAUAAGACUGGGAUAACUCCGGGAAACCGGGGCUAAUACCGGAUAACAUUUUGAACCGCAUGGUUCGAAAUUGAAAGGCGGCUUCGGCUGUCACUUAUGGAUGGACCCGCGUCGCAUUAGCUAGUUGGUGAGGUGACGGCUCACCAAGGCAACGAUGCGUAGCCGAGCUGAGAGGGUGAUCGGCCACACUGGGACUGAGACACGGCCCAGACUCCUACGGGAGGCAGCAGUAGGGAAUCUUCCGCAAUGGACGAAAGUCUGACGGAGCAACGCCGCGUGAGUGAUGAAGGCUUUCGGGUCGUAAAACUCUGUUGUUAGGGAAGAACAAGUGCUAGUUGAAUAAGCUGGCACCUUGACGGUACCUAACCAGAAAGCCACGGCUAACUACGUGCCAGCCGCCGCAGUAA